Molecule: long non-coding RNA, 1223 nt
Organism: Mesocricetus auratus (golden hamster)
Lineage: Eukaryota; Metazoa; Chordata; Mammalia; Rodentia; Cricetidae
Exons: 2
Source: RefSeq, a predicted model, not a curated record
AAACACGUGGAAGCUGUUCCCACUCUGUAAGGAGAUACAUGGGCAAGUGAUAUAUAGCAGCUGCCACUGUAUUUCCACCAAGACCUGAAGAGCCUCUCCAUCCUCCCUCCAGAGAGAAUCAGGAGGCAUUGUAUGAAGAACAACAGCAAAACCAGGCAGUAAUUGCUGGUGCUUCAAUGCUGGAGGUGACAACUGUGAGGCAUUAGUGUCAUCAAGGAGAAGCAGUCUUUCUGACAAAGUCUGGCCAAGUUACAAGCCAGCUCAACAGCUCGAUGACUCAGCUACCAAGUUCUGCAAUACACUAAUGAUGACAAAAACAAAACAAAACCAUCGCAAAACCUACAGAAACUGAAGUAUGACUCAUACAUGGUGGACAAGGAGGAGCAACAGAAACUGCCCAAGGAGGACAUGACCAUAAAUUUAACAAAAAGUAUAAUGUCGUAAAUAUGCUCAGGGGAUGGAGAGAUGGCUCAGCAGUUAAGAACAGUUGCUGCUUUCACAGAGAACAUGGAUUUCGUUCCUACAGAGCAGCUUACAUGUCUGUAUCUCCAGUUCCAGGGGACCUGGCACCCUCUUCUGGCUUGCACAGGCACCAGGCAUACAUGCAGUGCAUUUUCAUAUAUGCAGGUAAAAGUCAUACACAUAAAAUAAGAAUAGAUGAAUACAAUUAGAGAAAUAAGGAAAUAAUGUUUGAAGAAGCAAAGGAAGGAGCAUUAAGCAGAUAAUUACCAAUGGGAAAUGUCCUAAAGACAUGAAAAGAGCCGGGCGUUGGUGGCGCACACCUUUAAUCCCAGCACUCGGGAGGCAAAGGCAGGCGGAUCUCUGAGUUCAAGGCCAGCCUGGUCUAUAGAGUGAGUGUCAGGACAGCCUCCAAAACAAUACAGAGAAACCCUGUCUCGGAAACCCCCCAAAAAAAAGAGAAAAAAAAAAAGACAUGAAAAGAUAACAAGCACACAGUAGAUUUGAGUGCAGGAGUUAAAAAAAAAGCAGGAAACCAGAUGAAAGAAAAUAGAGAAAAGAUAACGACCGGACUGGAAAUAGCCAUCCCUCCCUUUUUCUGUGUAUCCUUAGCUGUCCUGGAACUCACAGAGAUCCGCCUGCCUCUGCCUCAUCUCAAGUGCUGAGAUUAAAGGCGUGCGCUACCACUUUCUGGCAGGAACUUAUUUCUGAAAAGAGUCCCCAUCUAUGGAUUCUACCAACAGUAAACUUAAGGUACUAAACAA